This 253-nucleotide ribosomal RNA is filed under the name uncultured bacterium. RNAcentral's name for it is "partial 16S ribosomal RNA". It matches the Rfam family "Bacterial small subunit ribosomal RNA", at positions 524 to 776 of the family's 1533-position model. The record is from RNAcentral.
UACGUAGGCAGCAAGCGUUGUUCGGAGUUACUGGGCGUAAAGGGUGUGUAGGCGGUUCCUUAAGUUUGCUGUGAAAUCUCCCGGCUUAACCGGGAGGGUGCGGUGAAUACUGAGGGACUAGAGUACGGGAGAGGAAAGUGGAAUUCCGGGUGGAGUGGUGAAAUGCGUAGAGAUCCGGAGGAACACCGAAGGCGAAGGCAGUGUCCUGGCUGGUGACUGACGCUGAGGUGCGAAAGCUAGGGGAGCGAACGGG